CGCGUAGGCGGCUUGUUAAGUCUGGGGUGAAAUCUCCCGGCUCAACCGGGAGGGGUCCUCGGAUACUGGCAGGCUGGAGGGGAGCAGAGGAGAGCGGAAUUCCCGGUGUAGUGGUGAAAUGCGUAGAUAUCGGGAGGAACACCAGUGGCGAAGGCGGCUCUCUGGGCUCUACCUGACGCUGAGGUGCGAAAGCGUGGGGAGCGAACCGGAUUAGAUACCCGGGUAGUCCACGCUGUAAACGAUGGACACUAGGUGUGGGAGGUAUCGACCCCUUCCGUGCCGAAGCUAACGCUAUAAGUGUCCCGCCUGGGGAGUACGGCCGCAAGGCUAAA
Molecule: ribosomal RNA, 332 nt
Filed under: uncultured bacterium
Lineage: Bacteria
Description: bacterial SSU rRNA
Rfam family: Bacterial small subunit ribosomal RNA
Source: RNAcentral